AGUGAACGCUGGCGGUAGGCCUAACACAUGCAAGUCGAACGGCAGCACAGUAAGAGCUUGCUCUUACGGGUGGCGAGUGGCGGACGGGUGAGGAAUACAUCGGAAUCUACUUUUUCGUGGGGGAUAACGUAGGGAAACUUACGCUAAUACCGCAUACGACCUACGGGUGAAAGCAGGGGAUCUUCGGACCUUGCGCGAUUGAAUGAGCCGAUGUCGGAUUAGCUAGUUGGCGGGGUAAAGGCCCACCAAGGCGACGAUCCGUAGCUGGUCUGAGAGGAUGAUCAGCCACACGGGAACUGAGACACGGUCCAGACUCCUACGGGAGGCAGCAGUGGGGAAGAGUGGACAAUGGGGGCAAGCCUGAUCCAGCCAUACCGCGUGGGUGAAGAAGGCCUUCGGGUUGUAAAGCCCUUUUGUUGGGAAAGAAAAGCAGCAGGUUAAUACCCCGCUGUUCUGACGGUACCCAAAGAAUAAGCACCGGCGAACUUCGU
RNAcentral lists this ribosomal RNA (491 nucleotides) under uncultured bacterium. RNAcentral's name for it is "partial 16S ribosomal RNA". It matches the Rfam family "Bacterial small subunit ribosomal RNA", at positions 29 to 506 of the family's 1533-position model. The record is from RNAcentral.